UCUUCUCACACACAAUAUGCUUGCUAAUUAC
Molecule: non-coding RNA, 31 nt
Filed under: Mus musculus (house mouse)
Lineage: Eukaryota; Metazoa; Chordata; Mammalia; Rodentia; Muridae
Source: RNAcentral